CUUAUGAUUACUUGAACAUUUUUAUAAGAAUGUGCUAGAUAGUGAAGUAACCGAUUUAGGAGAUUGCAGACUUGAGAAAAUAAACGUAGACUUUUGGCUCACUUUCAAGCUGUUUGACCCAGUCAUUAGUAAAUGAGCCAAAAUUGCUACGUAUACUAUUGAAUCAUGUUUUAAUUGUUUGAUCAUUAUUAAUCUGGUUGUAAAUGCAUAAGAAAAGAGAAACAAAUGCUUUUGAAGGAAAAUAGCAUACUUAAAUACUUACUCUUACAAGAGUCGUGGAUCAAGUAUAAUUGAAAUCAACUUCUAGUUGAUGAAAUAUGGAUGUGGUGCAUUGUCCAUGCCUUUGUUUUUUAACUGGUUGCAGGCAAGUAACACCAACCCAUUUUAAACUAAUGUUCGUUUGAAGUGAAUUAAUCUUCUAAUGUUUCUUAGAUGAAAUCGUCAUUUGUUCUAUUUGUCAUCACUAGUUUUGUUUGUGGGGGAUGGCCCAGCAUACAUUUUAGUUUUUGCUAACGUUAGGCUAAUGCAUUUGUAUUAUGUUGCUUUUACCCUCAUAAAAAACAGAUAACUACUUAGAUAUAAGCGAAGAUAUUCUACCCUCUAUUUGGACUGGGAGCCAAUGUCGUUUUGAUCUUUUCUGGACUUAUAAUGAAGUGCUUUUCGAACAUGAGAAAACAUUUGGGACCUGGAGUAGAUGGAUGGGCCAUUUCUUUGAAGUAUAUGAUGAGCAUAGUCGCUCUUAUGGGGUUUGCAAUUUCUGGUCUUUAUUGGUGGGUAAAUGCACAUGUUCCCCUUCCUACCCAUAGCAAGAAGAAUAAGGAAAAAACUAACAUGACCACAAUGGAGAGCCGAGAGUUUAAAGUUCUUGGCGUUCUUUCCAUAUAUCAGGGUUCUAGCCACGUUGGUUGUAGGAUACGGUAUUAGCACUAAUCUUGUUGAGGUUACAUGAAAUCGUAGCUCAAAGCUCAGGUAAAACAUUAAAAUAGUUGUUUGAAGAGUGUUUAACUUCCGUUAUCAUCUUACCGACCCUUGGUUGUAUUAAGGGACGCAAACGAGAAGAAAUUGAGUUAAGUUGAGUUCAUGAUCGCUCAUUUGCAGCCCUGAUGAGAAAUGCACAAUCAGUCGUGUGUUUGAAACGGUCUUUUAGGCUUUAUUGAGCCUAUUGGUUGUACUAAAGUCCUAAUAUGUGAUUAAAAAGGCUGUUCCAAAGCUCAAUCGGCUCCAAUCUUUUACCUACAGUUUCCUAGUCCAAAUGAAUACUCUUCUUUCAUAGUGAUUUCUCAUCUGCAACUGGAAUAAUGGCGUUCUCAAUGUUGUUAAGUCGGUGGAUAUUCAACAAAUACGGAUGGGGUGUUGCAGCCAAAAUCACACCCACGGUUCUGCUUCUGGCUCUGGUUCUUCUCUUUCAUUUUGUUUGGUGAUUCAAUUGGACCAGGUCUCAUGAAGUUCGGGAUUACUCCUCUUUUAGUAGAAGUUUACGUGGGUGCUAUGCAAGUAUGCAUAACAUCUUCAGCAAAAGUGCCGAAUAGAGUCUCUUUGACCCAUGCAAGGAAAUGGCCUAUAUUCCUUUGGAUGAGGACUCCAAGGUUCGAUACUUGAAAGUUGAAACUCAAAACCAGGUUUUAACGUUAUUUUAAGUUAGCUAAUGAUAGCAAAGUGGAUGGAUCAUUUGGUUUGGAUAAUGGAUCAAAAGAGCUUUGGGUUGAAGCGGACUGUUUAAUUUUAAUUAAUUAUGAAUCAGGUGGCAUGGUGCAAUAACGCAUACACGGGGGAAACUUAUUUGUCAUAUGAUAGCAAAACUUUCUUAUUACUAUCUAAAUAUCUAAUCUAGUUUUUUUUUAAUA
RNA transcript from Erigeron canadensis, 1844 nucleotides. It is a transcript of the gene named ADP,ATP carrier protein 2, chloroplastic-like, with no coding region annotated. The transcript has 3 exons. The record is from RefSeq and is a predicted model, not a curated record. NCBI's taxonomy places the organism in Eukaryota, Viridiplantae, Streptophyta, Magnoliopsida, Asterales, Asteraceae.